This 708-nucleotide long non-coding RNA is filed under the name Elaeis guineensis (African oil palm). RNAcentral's name for it is "long non-coding RNA (EGUI_LNC070805)". The record is from RNAcentral. Lineage: Eukaryota; Viridiplantae; Streptophyta; Magnoliopsida; Arecales; Arecaceae.
GAGAGAGCUAGAAGAAGAAGUUGAGAAUCUGAGGCAGUCCUGGAUAAGGGGUGGAGCAGAUAAUUCUAGGUCGGAAGGAGCAGAGCUUCCCUAGGGCUCUUUUUGGCCUUCUGUCUUUUCAUGUAUACAUUUUUCCUUUUGUUGUUUUGUCUCGCUUUUAUCGUUUUGCUUUUCCUCCUUUGGCCUUCUGGGCUUCGUGGUGUAUAUUUCGCAAAUGGAAUGAAAAGGAGAUUUUGUGUUACCUCGUCCGCAUAUUGUAUUAAAUUAUCGUCCACCGAACUUUUCUUAUCGUUCGACUUGUCCGAUGUUGACGUCAUUUGGAGGUGCCCAGUCAUCGAUACGCUGAUUUACUUUUCUCAUCGUCCAUGGCCGUAGGCUCGAGCUUGGUGGUCCGAUCUCCGCAUUACCCCGAAGGUGUCGUUGUUUUCUUGACCUGUGUCGAGAGCCCUUUUAGAGGCCGGGGGCGCCUGGUAGGAACUUUUCGUCUUUGUUGAGAUGAGGUUCCUUACGUCUUUGGCGUAGUUUGUCCUUCAUCUAUUUUCGAUGUAGUUCAUCGCUUUCCUUUUUAAUUUCCUCCCUCUUUUCGGAGUGAGGGUCCUCCCCUUGCCUUUCACGGGGUUGCGUAGAAGUAUGGAGGUGCCGCUGAGGGGCCUUUCCCCUUCAUCCAAUCUUGUUGGGCGGCCAGGUUUCAUCACCGUCAGGAUGAGG